GAUGAAGAACGCAGCAAAAUGCGAUAAGUAAUGUGAAUUGCAGAAUUCAGUGAAUCAUCGAAUCUUUGAACGCACAUUGCGCCCGCUGGUAUUCCGGCGGGCAUGCCUGUUCGAGCGUCAUUUCAACCCUCAAGCCCCCGGGUUUGGUGUUGGGGAUCGGCUCUGCCCUUCUGGGCGGUGCCGCCCCCGAAAUACAUUGGCGGUCUCGCUGCAGCCUCCAUUGCGUAGUAGCUAACACCUCGCAACUGGAACGCUGCGCGGCCAUGCCGUAAAACCCCAACUUCUGAAUGUUGACCUCGGAUCAGGUAGGAAUACCCGCUGAACUUAAGCAUAUCAAUAGCGGAGGA
RNAcentral lists this unclassified non-coding RNA (347 nucleotides) under soil metagenome. RNAcentral describes it as "partial contains 5.8S ribosomal RNA, internal transcribed spacer 2, and large subunit ribosomal RNA". The stretch from base 1 to 120 matches the Rfam family "5.8S ribosomal RNA", at positions 35 to 154 of the family's 154-position model. The record is from RNAcentral.